This is a long non-coding RNA of Panicum virgatum (switchgrass), 2442 nucleotides long. RefSeq lists it as uncharacterized. The record is from RefSeq and is a predicted model, not a curated record. Lineage: Eukaryota; Viridiplantae; Streptophyta; Magnoliopsida; Poales; Poaceae. The transcript is spliced from 3 exons.
GCUACCCGGACUACAUUGUUUCGUGUUUCCGUCCCCUUCACUUCUCUCCCUUUCUUCUCCAUCCAGCAAGUUCAGCGCAGCGGCGGGGAUCUCCCAUGGCGCGGCUGCGCCGGCGUCGCCACAUCAGGUUGUGCGGGCUGCAUCUAGGUCCUUCCUCUUUUCUCCCUGGGCUGUGAUGAGGUCAGCUUGCACCGUGCUGGAUGAACCAACUAGGAGGUCGCACGGGCUUCGCUCUUCACCAAAUGCUCACAGCAUUGAGCCGGCUCAUGACCCAUGCUCCUCGAGCUCGUCGCUGUGAGGGGUGUUCUCCGCUAGUACUAUUUUCUCCAUUUCCCGUUGGUUUGUGUGUGAGAUGGGUUUUACUAGGUUUGAUAUUUGUAUUUGGUUGUCUGUUGAUUUGCAGCUAUAGGCCUCCAGCUCCUGGCCGGCAGCCCACUCACCGCCUCUUUAGAUCCAGGCUGGGUGCUGUGUCCUUUGCAGGUUUCCACCGGUUUCCACCCUACGUUGAUUGGCACCAGAAAGAGUAGCUUUCUGAUAGUCAGUACUUUGUCAAGCAGUGGGUCUCAUGAUGGCACUUAAAAGGCUCCAUAUACACGGAUCUCGCUUUUUACAGGAGGUAUGAUCUCGGAUUCUUUGGCGAUGGCAUAUGUUGUUCAGUGUUUAACAGUAUAAACGCGAGCAUAUGCCAAUCUCCUGGUGCAGCUUUCUUCUUAUGUUGUUUAGUGUUACAUCUAUCAGGUUACAGGGUUGUUGAUUGAUGGUUGUAUCUUGCAUGGCCCAUUUAGAAAACAAUAUUAUGUAAUUUCAUUGACCUUUGGCAUUAUCAAUUUAUUAUUAAAUCAUUUUUCAUAGUCGACUUAGCUGUUUUGAUUAGGUAUGUUAUACCUAUCGUCCAUGGGGCUACUUUAAGGAAUUGCUUUCCCCCCACUUUGUUCAACCUAGAAUGACCACUAUGUUUCAUACAGAUAGCCAAUUUAGUGGCUGGAAUAUCAUUUCAUUUACUGUUCUCCCUUUCCCUUGUGCAUUCCUCAUGAAUGCCUAUUUUUUACUUUCAUAUUCUAACAUUCCUCGAUUUACUAAUUUCACAUGAUCCUAAUGUCUUUUCAUUUUGUUACAACUGUUUUGGCAACCAAUAUUAUUAUUAUUAUUACCCUUGGAGGUUGUUAAGUUCUAUCUUACAAGGUGCAUACUUAAUCCUCUCAUUGUACAUUGUCUUAACAAAACUAAGAUUCAAACCUUCUACUUCUAGCAACUAAUGUCUUUUCUUGCAUUCUGUUGGAAGAAAAUAUUUAUACAUAGGUGUUCUUCACACAUCCCUUGUUUAACCUUAUUUUGUUUGUGUUGUUUUUUAAGAUAAACAUGGACUUGUCUUGUGACGACUAUGGAUGUCUAGGCUUUGCUGAUAUAUAUCUAUCAUUUUUAAGUAGUUAAGUUAUUAAAUUUUGGAAUACAAGAACUAUAAUUAUUAACAUGGACCUGUCUUGUUUUUUCAGGCCAAAAUUUUCUGAUUUUCGUUAUUCAUAUGUGUUUUUUUUUCUUGUUAUCAGCCCAAAAAUUGUACCUCUAAACCUCUAUUUUUAAGCUGUUUUUUUCUUGUCAUCAUCCAAAAAUUUGCACUGUAAAUGUGUGUUUUUUCAGAUGUAUUUUUUUCUUGUUAUCAGACUAGAAAUUGUACCAGUAAGUGUGUAUUUUCUUCUUUAGAUCUGUGGGUUUUUGCUUGUUAUAUCAGCUUAGAAAUUGUACCUAUAAAUGUCUGAGUAAAUAUAACUUUAUUAUCAGCUAAAAAUUGUACAUAGGAAAUGAAAGCUUGGAGUCUGAGCAGCAGGAUCACCGGUCACAUAUAAUCUGAGCUGAGGGGUGUGUGUGUUACAGAGCUUCUUUCCUCGAAGCUCUAUAAGUGGCCACUUUUGCUUAAUUUUUAACUCAUUUUGCUGCGUUUUUUGGAUUGCGACACUGAUGAUGAAUGUCUUCUGAUUUUAUUUCAUUUUGUAUCUUACUGAGCAUGUGGAGCGAGAUGUUUUUCUCCUUUGCUUGAGACAUUAAGCCGAGAUUUUCUGAAAGUGACUCCAAGCCUGAGGAUCGAGUAUCAAUAUUAGUCAUUUGACAAGAUCAAGGUGCCAUGACCUCUUCAUCUAAGAAAUCUGCUUUGCUGUGGCUCAUGAGGAACUAAUAGUCUUCAUUAUCCUAAUCAAUAUAUAUUGGGAAAUGGAGAAUAAAAUAACUCAACACGCUUGAAUAUAUAUUUUUAUAGCUGUAAAUUUCUGUUGUGUAGAAACACAGGCAUGCAGCAAGAGGAACAGAUGGAGGACCUUUAGUAUAUAGUAGUAGAUGUUAGCUGCAUGUGAUUGUGUGAUAUGAGUCUUAUUAUAUGCAAAUUACAUGGAUUUUGGUAAUUGUGAUUUUUUUAGCAAAAUUAUAAUUGUAACUUUGUUGUUGCUGAAA